UUCUGGCUCAGGAUGAACGCUAGCGGCAGGCCUAACACAUGCAAGGUCGCGGGGCAGGCACGGGUAGCAAUACCUGGUGGCGACCGGCGCACGGGUGCGUAACGCGUAUGCAACCUGCCCCCAUCAGGGGAAUAGCCCGCCGAAAGGCGGAUUAAUGCCCCAUAGGCCCAGGGCGCCGCAUGGCGCUAUGGGUAAAGCUCCGGCGGAUGGGGAUGGGCAUGCGUGCCAUUAGCUAGUUGGGGCGGUAACGGCGCACCAAGGCGACGAUGGCUAGGGGGUCUGAGAGGAUGGUCCCCCACACUGGUACUGAGACACGGACCAGACUCCUACGGGAGGCAGCAGUGAGGAAUAUUGGUCAAUGGGCGGAAGCCUGAACCAGCCAUGCCGCGUGCAGGAUGACGGCCCUACGGGUUGUAAACUGCUUUUCCCCGGGAAGAAUAAGCCCCUCGUGAGGGGUGAUGCCGGUACCGGGGGAAUAAGGAUCGGCUAACUCCGUGCCAGCCGCUGC
This 508-nucleotide ribosomal RNA is filed under the name uncultured bacterium. RNAcentral describes it as "bacterial SSU rRNA". It matches the Rfam family "Bacterial small subunit ribosomal RNA", at positions 17 to 518 of the family's 1533-position model. The record is from RNAcentral.